RNAcentral lists this long non-coding RNA (227 nucleotides) under Helianthus annuus (common sunflower). Its description in RNAcentral is "hypothetical non coding rna". The record is from RNAcentral. Lineage: Eukaryota; Viridiplantae; Streptophyta; Magnoliopsida; Asterales; Asteraceae.
UUCGUCGCCACUUUCAUUCUUUGUUGUGGCGAUCAGAGGUUUGAUAAACGUUCAAUUCCCCACAAACCCUAAAACCAAAGACGACAUUCAUCUUCAAUAGUUUUUCGUCGAUUCAAGUUUGAUAAACAAAGAUUUUCAAUUAAAUCUUUGUUGAUUCCGAUGGUGCCGUCGUCGAAGAAGAUAAGUGCACCGAUUUUCAAUUAAAUCUUUGUUGAUUCCGAUGGUGC